Molecule: non-coding RNA, 73 nt
Organism: Eubalaena glacialis (North Atlantic right whale)
Lineage: Eukaryota; Metazoa; Chordata; Mammalia; Artiodactyla; Balaenidae
Source: the annotation of a RefSeq genome assembly
UCCCUGGUGGUCCAGUGGUUAGGACUCCGCAUUUGCACUGCUGAGGUCCCGGGUUCAAUCCCCGGUCCGGGAA